UCGGCCCCAAAUCAAGGCCAGCCACUUGCUGAAGCUGUUGGUUUUAAGCAGAAGCCUAAAGAAAAGUCUUUUUAUGGUCUGUUGGCCAUUUCAGAACUGUGGAAAUGUAAUGGUCAAUUCAUUAGAAAGAAACAUCU
Molecule: small nucleolar RNA, 137 nt
Filed under: Vicugna pacos (alpaca)
Lineage: Eukaryota; Metazoa; Chordata; Mammalia; Artiodactyla; Camelidae
Source: RNAcentral